Dreissena polymorpha is the source of this 1389-nucleotide long non-coding RNA. RefSeq lists it as uncharacterized. NCBI's taxonomy places the organism in Eukaryota, Metazoa, Mollusca, Bivalvia, Myida, Dreissenidae. The record is from RefSeq and is a predicted model, not a curated record. The transcript has 2 exons.
AGCGAAUCGAUAGAUAUUGAAAAUUUGAAUAGUGGUUGGAUUUAAAUUGCUCAGGCGUGCAAAAUUUAAAGUGUCAUAACAUAUUUUUUACGGAACAUGAUCGAGAAAUGAAUUAUCUACACAGACGAGUGUCCUGCUUACACUUGGUGUCCAUAUGAACCAGGCUGUGUUUCUUCAGGGAACUUCUAUGUGUGAACCUUGUGUGACAAAUACUGCAUUCAAAUGGUUUUUCCUCCUGGUGUAUUAGAACAUGGCAAGCAAGUUCAGAUACGCACUUGAACGCCUUCUGGCAGUGAUCACAGACAUGCCAGUCUGAAAAUGAAAUAAAAACUUAACAGAUAACAAAUGUGUGAUGAUUAAGGGCUUACGAAAAUUUGCAGAAUUCCCAAAUAGCGUUGCUGUAAAACAAAACAUCUAUUGCAUUGUUGAGGGAACCAAACAAUAUUUGUGUCCUGUGUUUGAACUCUCAAAUAACUAAGUGUCCGAUUUCGUAUUUCCAGAGUGUUGAAAUAAAAAUAAACAUCAAAUGGCACCAAGCUGUGUCUCUUAAUGGAGCUUUUCUGUGAUAAACAUUUGUGGCACACGUCACAUUUAAACAGCUUUACAACUGUGUGGACGCGAAUGUGCCGUAAGAGGUCAGAAAUCCAGCUGAACACGAUUUCUGGCAAUACUCGAAUACAAACCGUCUAAUCUCUGAAAUAAAGUAGAUAAAUAUAUUAGUUUUAAUAAAUGAAAUGUCGAAGUUAAAUAGAAAACUUCCCAUUUUUAUGGUAACCAUAAUAAGUUGUUGUAUUUUGGAUCGCUCUGAAAUUAAGCAAAUACAAGAGGGCCUGAAAGGCCCAAAGUCGCUCACCCGAGAUAAAAAGAAAUGGCCUGUUCUUUGCAGCCCAAGAUAUCAAUAGAACAAAUGUUCUAACCACGUUUCAUGAAGAAUGAACAACAAAUGGCCCCAUGGCGGAAAUGUUUUUCAACAGACUGGAACCAUUUUUGAACUAGUCCAAGAUAUUAUUGGGACAAAUCUUCUGACAAAGUUUCAUGAAGAUCCAACAAUAAAUGUGGCCUCUACAGUGUUAACAAGGCAAAUAUUCAUGACGCACAACGGAAUACAGACAAUUGACAAAAUGUGAUCAUAAAAGUUUACCAUGAGCAAAAAUAUUAUGCUCAUAAAGCUUGUCCCCAUGUGUGAAGAUCAGCAAGUGACAUUCAGAUUGAACUAAAAAUGUGACUAAAAGUAUUCACAAUGUUUACUAUAAACAUCUGUGGUAGUGCGGUCUCGUUCGCUUACGCAAAUGAACCGGUCACGGGACGGUUACGAGUGAUGUAACUUUGUGAGCACUUAUGUAAUACGGAAAUAUUUAUCGAGUCUAAUUAAAGAACGCUUAUUUCUAA